UAAUUUUCCCGGGAGAAGUAGUAGUCAAGCGGUCAUUCGAUGAGAGAUUAUGUCACUACAUCUGUCAAUUCUGCAGAGCAGUCAGAAGCCCCAGCCCACAAGGUUUUUUGAGCAAGGAUGCCAAUUUCUCCACUGCCCCUUUUGCCCACUUUAUAAGGGUGACUACUCAAAAGUGGAAACACAUUUACAGUCCCAUAUGAAAACAGUGGUACAGCAUGGAGAGUUUGUGAUGUAUACCUGCAAAUGGGGCUGCAGAAAGGAGUCCCACUACCACUGCUGUGCUUGUAUUCAAAUUUUUCAAAGAAAAAAACAACUGCUUAGACACCUCAGCACAUGCCACCGUCAGCCAGCAGAAGG
This is a long non-coding RNA of Rhinichthys klamathensis goyatoka, 357 nucleotides long. RefSeq lists it as uncharacterized. The transcript is spliced from 3 exons. NCBI's taxonomy places the organism in Eukaryota, Metazoa, Chordata, Actinopteri, Cypriniformes, Leuciscidae. The record is from RefSeq and is a predicted model, not a curated record.